AAUACUCUCAAGCAUAGCUUGGUAUUGGGCUUUCUUCAUCCAUUUGGAUGGGCCUAAAAAUUAGCGGCGAUGUCCUUCUGGCUUUCAAGCGUAGUAAUAUAUAAUUUUUUCGUCUUGAAAACAAGGGAAGGAGUAAUCUGCCAAAAAUAUAAGCCUCCCGACCUUUUUAA
RNAcentral lists this unclassified non-coding RNA (170 nucleotides) under uncultured Ascomycota. RNAcentral describes it as "sequence contains ITS2". Lineage: Eukaryota; Fungi; Ascomycota. The record is from RNAcentral.